This 305-nucleotide ribosomal RNA is filed under the name uncultured bacterium. RNAcentral's name for it is "bacterial SSU rRNA". It matches the Rfam family "Bacterial small subunit ribosomal RNA", at positions 334 to 656 of the family's 1533-position model. The record is from RNAcentral.
CUGACCUACGGGGCGCAGCAGUGGGGAAUAUUGCACAAUGGGGGGAACCCUGAUGCAGCGACGCCGCGUGGGUGAAGAAGUCAUUCGUGACGUAAAGCCCUAUCAGCAGGGAAGAAAAUGACGGUACCUGACUAAGAAGCCCCGGCUAACUACGUGCCAGCAGCCGCGGUAAUACGUAGGGGGCAAGCGUUAUCCGGAUUUACUGGGUGUACAGGGAGCGUAGACGGCGGCGCACGUCCGGAGUGAAAGCCCACGGCCCAACCGUGGGCCUGCUCUGGCCACUGUGCGGCUUGAGUGCGCGAGGG